UGCCCGAAAAUGGGCAAAGAGGCAGCUUGUUGGUGGUAUUAUUCUUAUAUCUGUCAGAGGCAGAGUAGAUGGCAUUCCUUUGCUUAUCUUAGCUUGAUACCUGGCCUGGCGGCCAAAGCUGUUUUAUGCCUAGGACUCCUAA
Small nucleolar RNA from Apodemus sylvaticus (European woodmouse), 142 nucleotides. RefSeq annotates it as small nucleolar RNA SNORA48. NCBI's taxonomy places the organism in Eukaryota, Metazoa, Chordata, Mammalia, Rodentia, Muridae. The record is from RefSeq and is a predicted model, not a curated record. The transcript has a single exon.